Chelonoidis abingdonii (Abingdon island giant tortoise) is the source of this 140-nucleotide small nucleolar RNA. Lineage: Eukaryota; Metazoa; Chordata; Testudines; Testudinidae. The record is from Ensembl.
UGCACUGUGUUGGUAUCUGCAUCCAGCAGUAUUUUUCUGAUGGGGUGUUCAAAAAACAGUGCCACAGUAAUCCAGCAUCUGGCAUCGUUGGUUUUCAUGCUAUUAUGCUUGUUAAACCUGGUAUAUCUGUUGGAACAUGU